GACGAACGCUGGCGGCGUGCUUAACACAUGCAAGUCGAACGGAAAGGCCUCUUUCGGGGGGUACUCGAGUGGCGAACGGGUGAGUAACACGUGAGUAACCUGCCCUUGACUUUGGGAUAACUUCAGGAAACUGGGGCUAAUACCGGAUAGGAGCUCCUGCUGCAUGGUGGGGGUUGGAAAGUUUCGGCGGUUGGGGAUGGACUCGCGGCUUAUCAGCUUGUUGGUGGGGUAGUGGCUUACCAAGGCUUUGACGGGUAGCCGGCCUGAGAGGGUGACCGGCCACAUUGGGACUGAGAUACGGCCCAGACUCCUACGUGAGGCAGCAGUGGGGAAUAUUGCACAAUGGGUGGAAGCCUGAUGCAGCAACGCCGUGUGCGGAAGGACGGCCUUCGGGUUGUAAACCGCUUUCGCUCAUGACGAAGCUUUGUGUGACGGUAGUGGGUAAAGAAGCACCGGCUAACUACGUG
Molecule: ribosomal RNA, 467 nt
Filed under: uncultured bacterium
Lineage: Bacteria
Description: partial 16S ribosomal RNA
Rfam family: Bacterial small subunit ribosomal RNA
Source: RNAcentral